GGAAGCUGACGUGUUAGGAUAACAUGUGACACGCUAGUGAAAAACUAAAGUGAAAGUAUUUUAGAAGAAGCUUAAUAUGGAGCACAGACAGAUACACGGGUGACUACCAACAGCAAGGACUGACACAGCCUUUCUUGUUUGUGUGCUUCUUUUUGUAGUUUUUCCAUAUUUGUUGGAAUUGGUCCAAAGGUGCUGAAAGGUUAAAGAGGAACAAUGGCCAAUAGACUACCUGCUUGUGUGUCUAUUCCAUUAAGCAAACUGUAUGAAGCUGCCAGGGCAUUUAUUGAAAACUGUAAUCAUUUUGAAAAAAGAGCACAAGCCAUUGGCCAUGAACUUCAAGAGCUAUCUGAUGAAUAUAAAAAGAUGGAAACUGAAACUACAUGUAAAAAUAGGACUGGGGACGCCCUUAAAGGAUUGGGAUAUGUAGCUGCUUUAGUUACAGCGUUUGGAGUAGGAUUUUCAGUUUCACGUGUAGGAGAUGAAAAAGCGCUCGCUGCAGGAGGUUUAGUCUUACUUUCAUUAUCUGCUGCUGCUGCUGCAGUCGAAACUGGAGACUCAACUGUUUUGAAUGCAAAUGUAAAGAAGGCACUCACACAGCAGGACAUGAUGAAAAGUUUGAAAGCUUUGGUUGAAGAAUUCAUGACCAUUAUUGGAGCACAGAGGACCAUCCUGGAUGAUAUCAUCACAUUCUCAGAUGAACUGAAUGAAAACUCCUCCAUUGUAAGCACAAAAGCUGGAGCACAAGCAAAAAAAACUCUUUCAGACAUUAAAAAGUUUCAGGGACUUCAAAACAAAAUGAACGAACUGACAGAGGAUGUAAAGGCCGCACAUCUUAUAGCUGAGUCAGCCCGGCAGUGUGAGAAAACUCUCACUAAGCUUUUAAAAAUGAGGAAUGAACUCAAAGAGUUUGAGCAAAAUUAGUAUGAAGUACUUUAAUAAUAAUAAUAAUGGAUUGGAUUUAUAUAGCGCUUUUCAAGGCACCCAAAGCGCUUUACAAUACCACUAUUCAAUACCACUAUACUUUGAUACCUUUUUUCACUGGGGAACUUUAAUGUGCAGUACAUGCAGUUGAUGAUGUGCAAGACUAAGACAAUAUGCAAACAUCAGUCUCAUGAUAUAACGGGUCAAUCUAUAAAGCAGCUGCUUAAAGUACAAGAACAGUUGCAACUUAAUUUCGUACCUAAAAUUAUUAUUAACUGUUAUUUUUAAACUGUUUGUUUCAAUUUUUGUUAAAAAUGCAAGGUUGUACUGUUAAUUUCAAUCAUCUGUACGACCAAAGAAAAACCUGAAAGAAAAAGAAAUAAUGAAGUAUGUAGGACAUAAACACCCAUAUUGUGCUGAUGACGCCAUCUUUUUAAUCUUAUGGUUUUCAAACUGCAGGUCUGAAGUCUAGUUCAUGAAAAGCUCUUUACUCUUUCCUAGUCUUUCCUAUCCCUCAAAGGAAAUCUAAAUUAGCACUGGAAAUUAACACUGGUCUGACAGCCUAUUGGCCUUUAAAUCACUUGCUGAAAGGCAGAACUUAUUAGCAUUGAGGCAAUCAGACGAAUGAGAUAUUUAGCAUUCUUAGCUGACUUCACCACCAGCUUACAUAUAUGCUCAAAAUGGUAAAUAAUGGUUCUUAGUGGUGUAGAUAGUGAUGCGUAUUUCUGCUCAGUCAAUAAUGCAUUCACUGACGUAUUAUGUUGUAUCAUGACGUAUCUUGCUGUAAUCAGUAGUUGCUUUUUUUGGUGUCUCUUUACUGCAAUAAAACUUGAAGCACAA
Molecule: long non-coding RNA, 1761 nt
Organism: Astatotilapia calliptera (eastern happy)
Lineage: Eukaryota; Metazoa; Chordata; Actinopteri; Cichliformes; Cichlidae
Source: Ensembl